GACGAACCGUGCGAACGUUGUUCGGAAUCACUGGGCUUAAAGGGCGCGUAGGCGGCGUGUCAAGUCAGGCGUGAAAGCCCCGGGCUCAACCUGGGAACCGCGCUUGAGACUGGCAUGCUCGAGUUCGGGAGAGGAUGGUGGAAUUCCCAGUGUAGAGGUGAAAUUCGUAGAUAUCGGGAGGAACACCGGUGGCGAAGGCGGCAGCCUGGGUUGACACUGACGCUGAGGCGCGAAAGCGUGGGGAGCAAACAGG
This 253-nucleotide ribosomal RNA is filed under the name uncultured bacterium. Its description in RNAcentral is "partial 16S ribosomal RNA". It matches the Rfam family "Bacterial small subunit ribosomal RNA", at positions 524 to 776 of the family's 1533-position model. The record is from RNAcentral.